This 254-nucleotide ribosomal RNA is filed under the name uncultured bacterium. RNAcentral's name for it is "partial 16S ribosomal RNA". It matches the Rfam family "Bacterial small subunit ribosomal RNA", at positions 524 to 776 of the family's 1533-position model. The record is from RNAcentral.
GACGAACCGUGCGAACGUUAUUCGGAAUCACUGGGCUUAAAGCGCGUGUAGGCGGAUGGGAACGUCGGUCGCUGAAAUCCCCCGGCUCAACCGGGGAACGGGCGCCGAAACGACCCGUCUGGAGGGACGUAGGGGGACCUGGAACUUCCGGUGGAGCGGUGAAAUGCGUUGAGAUCGGAAGGAACGCCCGUGGCGAAAGCGAGGUCCUAGACGUCUACUGACGCUGAGACGCGAAAGCUAGGGUAGCGAACGGG